UAGGGAAUCUUCCGCAAUGGGCGAAAGCCUGACGGAGCAACGCCGCGUGAGUGAUGAAGGUCUUCGGAUCGUAAAACUCUGUUAUUAGGGAAGAACAAAUGUGUAAGUAACUAUGCACAUCUUGACGGUACCUAAUCAGAAAGCCACGGCUAACUACGUGCCAGCAGCCGCGGUAAUACGUAGGUGGCAAGCGUUAUCCGGAAUUAUUGGGCGUAAAGCGCGCGUAGGCGGUUUUUUAAGUCUGAUGUGAAAGCCCACGGCUCAACCGUGGAGGGUCAUUGGAAACUGGAAAACUUGAGUGCAGAAGAGGAAAGUGGAAUUCCAUGUGUAGCGGUGAAAUGCGCAGAGAUAUGGAGGAACACCAGUGGCUAAGGCGACUUUCUGGUCUGUAACUGACGCUGAUGUGCGAAAGCGUGGGGAUCAAACAGG
Molecule: ribosomal RNA, 429 nt
Filed under: Bacteroidota bacterium
Lineage: Bacteria; Pseudomonadati; Bacteroidota
Description: Bacteroidetes bacterium partial 16S ribosomal RNA
Rfam family: Bacterial small subunit ribosomal RNA
Source: RNAcentral